GUGUGGAAUGGUUGAUGUACCUUAAAUUAGAAUUGCUCUGCCCUGAGACUUCUUCCUGUUCUGGGAAAUGUUGCAUUGUUCUUGUUGACUGAAUGAGUUAAGGCAGGAUGUUUCUGUUCCUGGGAUCCCAGUUUAAACUAGGCAGAAAUCUGCACAAAGAACAAAUCCAGGUACAGUCAUGUUGGCCAGGCUGAGCCUGCCAUGGGAGCUCAUAGCAAAAGCAUGCAAGAGCCCUGAUUUAUUGCCUUCAUCUCAGACCUAAAAUAAGCAGUAUGAAUUGACAAUUGUCCUUUGAAAAAGUCCCACCGAGAGCAGACUUUCAUUAUGAAGGCAGUACCCCUACAAAAGGAAGAUGGAGGGCAAGACUGAGACGUUUGCUUGCGGGCAUUCUGUUGGGCAGCCGAACCUGUCUCCCCUCGCUGGGGCAGCAGCGAUCUUCACUAUCAGUGCAAAUGAAAAUCAUAGGAGUAAAGAUGAAUUGCAGCCACAUUCUUUGAAGAAAUAUAAUUUGGAAUCUAUAAUCGUCACUGCCAUGCAGAAGGAACAGGUCCAAAACAGAACAGCGCUUCUGAGUGUGCCAUCUUCCUCCGGAUUACAAGGACUGGCUUUCCUUAUCUUCAAUAAGUCUUUAAAUGUCUAUUCCUGAAGCAGGACAGAGGAUAUUACUUGAAUGAUCUGGAGCAAAUCCAUAAUUUUUCUUGAAAGAGCGCACCCUGUGGGAAACUCAUUGAAUCCUCCUUGCAUCUGAGCGACAUUUCUUUUCAAUCAAGUGUGUUCCAAUAAAGGAGUUAGGUAUUGUUUGGGGACUUGAUUUUAUUCACAAGGAAUGAGACAGAAUACAAGCCAUUAUAUAGCAACAGAGUGGGUUGCUUCAUCAAACCCAGGAGAAUUGAGUUGGGCCUGUUCCUCAACUGUCCUAAGUCGCUGAAACUGACUCUGAGAUGGAGAUUUGCAUGCAGGAGGUUUGUUGAGGACAAAUCUUGGGAGCAAUGCCUGCUGGGGAGGGUUUAGAUGGGAUGAGCACCUGCAGCAAUUAAACAGCAAUGCAAUUGCUUCCGAGGCCUCAGCCCAUUCCACCAGAGCUCUCAACAGAGAAUGAUUCCACAGAGACAAGUCUUGAAUGGAGACUUUGCAGCCCUGCAUCCGCCUGUCCUUCAAGGAUGUUCAGCGAUGACACAAAGUGUCAGUUUCAUUAAUUCAAGCUGCACCUCUCUGGCAGACACUCUACUCCUGGGAAAGUCAGAAAUAGUCUCACAUUCAGGGAGCCUCCAGUCUCCAGAUGACACUUCACUGGAAUCUGAAGGGUGAAGAGGUGGAUUCUGGACCUGGUGUUCUGAGAGGAGUGGUGGGGCCAAAUACAUGAAGAAGAGAAAGCUUCCAGAGGGUCAAGAAGCUGUUGUGAGCAUGGCCAGUUUCUUGCUCAGCCAUCCUCACCCCUGGAUCACCGCUUUGGAAGGGAAGUCCCCAGCUCCGGUGUGUUCUGAGGCUGCUGGGGGCCAGUGCAGCUCUGCGGUGGCAUCAGAGGCAGGAGCUCUCCCAGCCCUUGCAGUGACCUGGUGGGAACCGAAACCGCUGAAUAAAACCUUUCCUGCUUUAGAAUGGGUGUUCUUUUCUGCACUGAACCGUGGCUAAGAGAGAAUUUGUUUGAUGUGGGUGAUAAAUAAACUUCCAUUUUAUUUGGGCCACUGUUAUUUUCAGCUUUCUGUCACUUGAAGCCAAAUAUAAUUCUAAUUCAUAAGUCAACAGAUCUCUAACCUGGAAAAUGAUUUUGCAAAUCUAGAAGAUGAAUUUUGCAAAGGAGACCUUUAAUUUUCUUUACAUGGGCUCUCUUUUUUUAAUCCAAGUAUAUAGGUGGAAGUUCAAUUCAAUGGCUUCAGUAGAAUAUUUGUGACUUGCUAAUAAUUUAACUUUGCAUAACUUCACAGGCAACCUUGAAAAUGGCCCAUACAAAAACUCUCAUUUUUUCUUAAUUUAGAUUUAUCCAACACAAUUUUUGAUUAUGUUUCUAUAAUCCCUAAUAUGCUUAACUCAGAAUUAACCAAAGUUUUUCAAACUGUAUUGACUCUAAAAACUAUUCUGGAAUAGAAUUUUUAAAAGCAUUUUCCAUUUGAGUCUAUGCCAGGGUUAUUGUAAUUUUCAUCUAAAUAUCUCAACAUUCUGUCCUCUAUAUGAUUUUUCAAACAAAUUUACAUAGCUGCUUGAAUCAGAUAACUAAGAGAAUUAUGAGCAUGUGGGUAAUUGAACAUUUUGAGCUUUGACCUGCUAGUUUGCUUUUUUGCUUGCUAUAGACUGAACUUCCAAAUUCUGGCUAAACAUCGUAUUAUUGUGUGAUGUAAGUCAAAAGGCAAAUCCAGGCAAAAUCCGGAAUAAGCAAAUAGGUCUCAUCUGCUGGAAGGCCACAGGGCGUGGGCUCUUCUCACAGUGGAAGAAUGGAGAAGCUCAUUUGGAUGAACAAUAUACAAACUAUUAUAUGCCUAGAAUUUAAGUGCUUGACCACUCAGGGCAGGGAUAUCAUUGGGAGACUGUGCUUGCUUAAAGGACCUUUUAAUUUUUUUUCUGUAUGUAUAAAUCUACUAAACUUAAUAUUCUGUCUAAUCUUAAUAUUCAUUUCAGAAACUUGAGGAGAAAUGGAAUUCUUUUUUGUUGUUGUUGUUUUUAUUCCAAUUUCUUUCAAUAUUCUGUAAUUUAGAACUGGGUUGGUCAUGAGGAAACUCCAGAUGGGUGAAUACUGAAAUAACAUUAAACCUGUUGGAUAUUUGUCAUUUACUCAUUAAAGUUAGAAUUCGCAGAGGAGAAAAUUGUGUGCCAGUUGGGG
This 2815-nucleotide long non-coding RNA is filed under the name Homo sapiens (human). Its description in RNAcentral is "HSALNT0122968". The record is from RNAcentral. Lineage: Eukaryota; Metazoa; Chordata; Mammalia; Primates; Hominidae.